Long non-coding RNA from Carassius gibelio (silver crucian carp), 432 nucleotides. RefSeq lists it as uncharacterized. NCBI's taxonomy places the organism in Eukaryota, Metazoa, Chordata, Actinopteri, Cypriniformes, Cyprinidae. The transcript has 2 exons. The record is from RefSeq and is a predicted model, not a curated record.
CUGCGGCUUUGGUUGUGGAACUGGCUUCUGAAGCGGAAACUGCGGCUUUGGUUGUGGAACUGGCUUCUGAAGCGGAAACUGCGGCUUAGGUUGUUGUGGAACUGGCUUCUGAAGCGGAAACUGCGGCUUAGGUUGUUGUGGAACUGGCUUCUGAAGCGGAAACUGCGGCUUAGGUUGUUGUGGAACUGGCUUCUGAAAUGGAAAUUGCGGCUUAGGUUGUUGUGGAACUGGCUUCUGAAAUGGAAACUGCUGGUUAGUUAGCUGUUGAACUGGCUUCUGGAGCUGAAACUGCUGGUCAGUUUGCUGGAUCAUCAGAGCUUGAGUAUCCUGAAGCGAUUGACUCCACUGUGGGACAGCAUGACAGAAAGCACAGCCCACCAAAAUCUGAGCCAAACACCAAAUUCCAGCCAUUGUUUAACAGCUAAACACAAA